Molecule: long non-coding RNA, 969 nt
Organism: Sinocyclocheilus rhinocerous
Lineage: Eukaryota; Metazoa; Chordata; Actinopteri; Cypriniformes; Cyprinidae
Exons: 3
Source: RefSeq, a predicted model, not a curated record
GUGUCAGGACGGAGGCCAUCUGCUCCUGCAGAAUGCAGAGUGGGAGAAGCUGCUGGAGUUCGUUCAGGCGGCGUGUCGCUACACCAGUGAACUCCCGCAGUGGGAGACCAGCACCCAUAAUGCACUGCGAGAGCACUGCUACAACACGCUAGCAGCGUUCUGUACCGCGGCGCUGCAGAAACACAGACCCGCCGCGCGCAGAGCUCGAGAACUGCUGCGCAGGUUCAAAAUGGCUCCGGUGUCGAGGCGAGCGAUCGGCCCGUGUUUAGAAGAGCUGGAGAAGAUCCUGCAGGAAUAUCAGAGCGGAAAAUCACAAACACAAAUCCACCCGUGAGUCUUGCGUUCAGACGAGAGCGCUGCUGAUGAGUGACGUCACUGAGAUCUCACUGUGACACACGUCGAUCCAUCAGACCAUGAGACCCAUCAGAGCAUGUGACCCAUCAGAGCAUGUGAUUCACCCAUCAGAGCAUGAGACCCUCCCAUCAGAGCAUGUGAUUUGCCCAUCAGAGCAUGAGACCCAUCAGAGCAUGUGACCCACCCAUCAGAGCAUGUGAUUCGCCCAUCAGAGCAUGUGAUUCGCCCAUCAGAGCAUAUGACGCCCAUCAGAGCAUGUGACCCGCCCAUCAGAGCAUGAGACCCACCCAUCAGAGCAUGUGAAUCGCCCAUCAAAGCAUGUGAAUUGCCCAUCAGAGCAUGAGACCCACCCAUCAGAGCAUGUGAAUCGCCCAUCAGAGCAUGUGAUUUGCCCAUCAGAGCAUGAGACCCAUCAGAGCAUGUGACCCGCCCAUCAGAGCAUGUGAUUUGCCCAUCAGAGCAUGAGACCCAUCAGUGCAUGUGAAUCGCCCAUCAGAGCAUGAGACCCAUCAGAGCAUGUGAUUCGCCCAUCAGAGCAUGUGACCGUCAGGCCACACCUGCCUUACUUUAGUGAUGCAAGGACCCAUAAUUCCUUGCUGUGAUUGGACUGAUUAC